AGAUUGAACGCUGGCGGCAUGCCUUACACAUGCAAGUCGAACGGCAGCACGGGAGCAAUCCUGGUGGCGAGUGGCGAACGGGUGAGUAAUAUAUCGGAACGUGCCCAGUAAUGGGGGAUAGCCCGGCGAAAGCCGGAUUAAUACCGCAUACGACCCAAGGGUGAAAGCGGGGGAUCGCAAGGCCUCGCGUUAUUGGAGCGGCCGAUAUCAGAUUAGCUUGUUGGUGGGGUAAAAGCCUACCAAGGCAACGAUCUGUAGCUGGUCUGAGAGGACGACCAGCCACACUGGGACUGAGACACGGCCCAGACUCCUACGGGAGGCAGCAGUGGGGAAUUUGGACAAUGGGCGCAAGCCUGAUCCAGCCAUGCCGCGUGUGGGAAGAAGGCCUUCGGGUUGUAAACCACUUUGUCAGGAAGAACAGCCUAGCUAAUACGAGGACUAAUGACGGUACCUGAAGAAUAAGACACCGGACUAACUACGUAGACCAGACAGCCGACGGUAA
Molecule: ribosomal RNA, 502 nt
Filed under: uncultured soil bacterium
Lineage: Bacteria
Description: bacterial SSU rRNA
Rfam family: Bacterial small subunit ribosomal RNA
Source: RNAcentral